Molecule: ribosomal RNA, 680 nt
Filed under: uncultured beta proteobacterium
Lineage: Bacteria; Pseudomonadati; Pseudomonadota; Betaproteobacteria
Description: bacterial SSU rRNA
Rfam family: Bacterial small subunit ribosomal RNA
Source: RNAcentral
UGCCUUACACAUGCAAGUCGAACGGUAACAGGUCUUCGGAUGCUGACGAGUGGCGAACGGGUGAGUAAUACAUCGGAACGUGCCCAGUAAUGGGGGAUAGCUCGGCGAAAGCCGGAUUAAUACCGCAUACGCCCUGAGGGGGAAAGUGGGGGAUCGCAAGACCUCACGUUAUUGGAGCGGCCGAUGGCUGAUUAGCUAGUUGGUAGGGUAAAGGCCUACCAAGGCGACGAUCAGUAGCUGGUCUGAGAGGACGAUCAGCCACACUGGGACUGAGACACGGCCCAGACUCCUACGGGAGGCAGCAGUGGGGAAUUUUGGACAAUGGGGGAAACCCUGAUCCAGCAAUGCCGCGUGUGCGAAGAAGGCCUUCGGGUUGUAAAGCACUUUUGUCAGGGAAGAAAUCCUUUGGGCUAAUACCCUAGGGGGAUGACGGUACCUGAAGAAUAAGCACCGGCUAACUACGUGCCAGCAGCCGCGGUAAUACGUAGGGUGCAAGCGUUAAUCGGAAUUACUGGGCGUAAAGCGUGCGCAGGCGGUUGUGUAAGACAGGUGUGAAAUCCCCGGGCUUAACCUGGGAAUUGCAUUUGUGACUGCACGACUAGAGUGUGUCAGAGGGGGGUGGAAUUCCACGUGUAGCAGUGAAAUGCGUAGAUAUGUGGAGGAACACCAAUGGCGAAGGC